GGCUCCCCGGAGCUAGUGGCGGACGGGUGAGUAACGUGUGAUAAUCUGCCUUUCCGUGUGGGACAACAGAAGGAAACUUCUGCUACUCCCGGAUGACCCCUUGGGUAAAAGAUUAUUUGCCUGGAGAUGAGCUCGCGUCUGAUUAGCUAGUUGGUGUGAUAAAAGCAUACCAAGGCGACUAUCAGUAGCUGGUCUGAGAGGAUGAGCAGCCACACUGGGACUGAGACACGGCCCAGACUCCUACGGGAGGCAGCAGUGGGGAAUUUUCCGCAAUG
This 275-nucleotide ribosomal RNA is filed under the name uncultured bacterium. Its description in RNAcentral is "partial 16S ribosomal RNA". It matches the Rfam family "Bacterial small subunit ribosomal RNA", at positions 77 to 373 of the family's 1533-position model. The record is from RNAcentral.